Molecule: ribosomal RNA, 489 nt
Filed under: uncultured bacterium
Lineage: Bacteria
Description: bacterial SSU rRNA
Rfam family: Bacterial small subunit ribosomal RNA
Source: RNAcentral
GGCUCAGGAUGAACGCUGGCGGCGUGCUUAACACAUGCAAGUCGAACGAAGCACUUUAUUUGAUUUCCUUCGGACUGAAGAUUUUGUGACUGAGUGGCGGACGGGUGAGUAACGCGUGGGUAACCUGCCUCAUACAGGGGGGAUAACAGUUGGAAACGACUGCUAAUACCGCAUAAGCGCACAGUGCUGCAUGGCACAGUGUGAAAAACUCCGGUGGUAUGAGAUGGACCCGCGUCUGAUUAGCUGGUUGGUGAGGUAACGGCCCACCAAGGCGACGAUCAGUAGCCGGCCUGAGAGGGUGAACGGCCACAUUGGGACUGAGACACGGCCCAAACUCCUACGGGAGGCAGCAGUGGGGAAUAUUGCACAAUGGGGGAAACCCUGAUGCAGCGACGCCGCGUGAGUGAGGAAGUAUUUCCGGUAUGUAAAACUCUAUCAGCAGGGAAGAUAAUGACGGUACCUGACUAAGAAGCACCGGCUAAAUACGUG